Molecule: ribosomal RNA, 567 nt
Filed under: Panulirus homarus (Indian spiny lobster)
Lineage: Eukaryota; Metazoa; Arthropoda; Malacostraca; Decapoda; Palinuridae
Description: partial 16S ribosomal RNA
Rfam family: Bacterial large subunit ribosomal RNA
Source: RNAcentral
CGCCUGUUUAUCAAAAACAUGUCUUUAUGAAAAUUUAUGUAAAGUCUAGCCUGCCCAGUGAUGUUUAAGUUUAACGGCCGCGGUAGUAUGACCGUGCUAAGGUAGCAUAAUAAUUUGUCCUUUAAUUGGGGACUGGUAUGAACGGUUGAACAAGAAAUUAACUGUCUCUAUUGCAAACUUUGAAUUUUACAUUUAAGUGAAAAGGCUUAAAUAAUAUGGGGGGACGAUAAGACCCUAUAAAUCUUUAUGUUUUAACUAAUAAAUUUUAGAGAUUAGUUAAAUAUUUAGUGUUAUUAAGUUAAAAUAUUUUGUUGGGGCGACAGGAGUACAAUAAGUAACUGCUUUGUUUAUAAACUAAUUAUUUUUAUUAUGGAAAUUGUUAUUGAUCCUCUUUUGGAGAAAUCAGAAUAAGUUACUUUAGGGAUAACAGCGUAAUCUUUUUUGAGAGUCCAUAUCGAAAAAAUGGUUUGCGACCUCGAUGUUGAAUUAAAGAUCCUUGGUGGCGUAGGGGCUACUAGAGGAGGUCUGUUCGACCUUUAAAUCUUUACGUGAUCUGAGUUCAGACCG